This 409-nucleotide ribosomal RNA is filed under the name uncultured Gemmata sp. Its description in RNAcentral is "bacterial SSU rRNA". It matches the Rfam family "Bacterial small subunit ribosomal RNA", at positions 353 to 772 of the family's 1533-position model. Lineage: Bacteria; Pseudomonadati; Planctomycetota; Planctomycetia; Gemmatales; Gemmataceae. The record is from RNAcentral.
AGUCGAGGAUCUUCGGCAAUGAGCGCAAGCUUGACCGAGCGACGCCGCGUGGGCGAUGAAGGCCUUCGGGUUGUAAAGCCCUGUCGAGGGGGAGAAAAGAGCAAUCUUGAUCUAUCCCUGGAGGAAGCACGGGCUAAGUUCGUGCCAGCAGCCGCGGUAAGACGAACCGUGCGAACGUUAUUCGGAAUCACUGGGCUUAAAGGGUGCGUAGGCGGGUUGCCAAGUCUGUGGUGAAAUCCUCCAGCUUAACUGGAGAACGGCCGUGGAUACUGGCGACCUCGAGGGGGAUAGGGGCUUGCGGAACUGUGCGUGGAGCGGUGAAAUGCGUUGAUAUGCACAGGAACUCCGGUGGCGAAGGCGGCGAGCUGGAUCCCUUCUGACGCUGAAGCACGAAAGCCAGGGGAGCGAA